GACGAACGCUGGCGGCGUGCUUAACACAUGCAAGUCGAACGGAAAGGCCCUUCGGGGUACUCGAGUGGCGAACGGGUGAGUAACACGUGGGUGAUCUGCCCUGCACUUUGGGAUAAGCCUGGGAAACUGGGUCUAAUACCGAAUAGGACCACGCGCUUCAUGGUGUGUGGUGGAGAGCUUUUGCGGUGUGGGAUGGGCCCGCGGCCUAUCAGCUUGUUGGUGGGGUAAUGGCCUACCAAGGCGACGACGGGUAGCCGGCCUGAGAGGGUGACCGGCCACACUGGGACUGAGAUACGGCCCAGACUCCUACGGGAGGCAGCAGUGGGGAAUAUUGCACAAUGGGCGCAAGCCUGAUGCAGCGACGCCGCGUGAGGGAUGACGGCCUUCGGGUUGUAAACCUCUUUCAAUAGGGACGAAGCGCAAGUGACGGUACCUAUAGAAGAAGCACCGGCCAACUACGUGCCAGCAGCCGCGGUAA
This 478-nucleotide ribosomal RNA is filed under the name uncultured bacterium. RNAcentral describes it as "partial 16S ribosomal RNA". It matches the Rfam family "Bacterial small subunit ribosomal RNA", at positions 28 to 523 of the family's 1533-position model. The record is from RNAcentral.